GGGCGUCGAACAGCCGACUCAGAACUGGUACGGACAGGGGAAUCGACUGUUUAAUUAAAACAAAGCAUUGCGAUGGU
RNAcentral lists this ribosomal RNA (77 nucleotides) under Oryza sativa Japonica Group (Japanese rice). RNAcentral describes it as "28S ribosomal RNA". It matches the Rfam family "Eukaryotic large subunit ribosomal RNA", at positions 2090 to 2168 of the family's 3401-position model. The record is from RNAcentral. Lineage: Eukaryota; Viridiplantae; Streptophyta; Magnoliopsida; Poales; Poaceae.